AAACCAGCAAGACAGACUAUUUCAACUCCAAAAGCAUUGAGUUCAACAUUCAUUGCUGCAUCGAAUGCGUCUCGAUUAGGAUAAUCCGUAUGUUUAAUAACCUAUGGUCACAUAUUGAAAUGAUAUACGGAUGAAAGCUCGUUUAAGUCCUUCAACGUUUGAUUUAUUAGAUAUUACUAUAACAAUUUCUGCACCAAUAUGUUGAGAUCGAUCUUUAGUUGCAUCAAUUAGUGAUUGUAAAUUGGUUCCGCUACCGGAUAUCAAAACACCCACUUUUUUUAAAGGCUUACUUAAUUGUGAAAUUAUAUCUGGUAUGUAUUGUCUCAUUUUCAAUUCUAACGCUUCCUCAAAAUUUUUAACGUGUAUUCUAGUGUGAUUUUCUGUAAUAUUUAAUGUGUAUAAAUAUAAAUAAAAUUAUUUUUAAUAAAAUAGUUUUAAAUGGA
This is a long non-coding RNA of Bombus pascuorum, 443 nucleotides long. RefSeq lists it as uncharacterized. Lineage: Eukaryota; Metazoa; Arthropoda; Insecta; Hymenoptera; Apidae. The transcript has 2 exons. The record is from RefSeq and is a predicted model, not a curated record.